RNAcentral lists this ribosomal RNA (492 nucleotides) under uncultured bacterium. RNAcentral's name for it is "partial 16S ribosomal RNA". It matches the Rfam family "Bacterial small subunit ribosomal RNA", at positions 29 to 507 of the family's 1533-position model. The record is from RNAcentral.
AGUGAACGCUGGCGGUAGGCCUAACACAUGCAAGUCGAACGGCAGCACAGUAAGAGCUUGCUCUUACGGGUGGCGAGUGGCGGACGGGUGAGGCAUACAUCGGAAUCUACUUUUUCGUGGGGGAUAACGUAGGGAAACUUACGCUAAUACCGCAUACGACCUACGGGUGAAAGCAGGGGAUCUUCGGACCUUGCGCGAUUGAAUGAGCCGAUGUCGGAUUAGCUAGUUGGCGGGGUAAAGGCCCACCAAGGCGACGAUCCGUAGCUGGUCUGAGAGGAUGAUCAGCCACACUGGAACUGAGACACGGUCCAGACUCCUACGGGAGGCAGCAGUGGGGAAUAUUGGACAAUGGGCGCAAGCCUGAUCCAGCCAUACCGCGUGGGGGAAGAAGGCCUUCGGGUUGUAAAGCCCUUUUGUUGGGAAAGAAAAGCAGCAGGUUAAUACCCCGCUGUUCUGACGGUACCCAAAGAAUAAGCACCGGCUAACUUCGUG